UUAUGUGAUAUUUUGCUCCACCACACGUUCCUUGCCAUGAGGGAGUCAAAGCAAUGGGGCCGAUCAAUCAUAGACUGAAACAUCUAUACCUGCGAGCCAAAAUGAACCUUUCCACUUUAGGGAAGUUCAACUAAACAGCUCAGCUUCAGCUUGGAGAGAGGUGGAACUGUAGCAAGAGUGGCUCCGAAGUGACUGGCAGCCUGGCAUGAAGGUGCACUGCAGGAGUUUAAGCCAAAAGAACAGCCUCCUACGGCUUCAAGAGAAGAGGCGCCACCUGCGUUAGGGUCUGGUGAUACUGGAAGGCUGGGUCCUGAGGUCAAACCUCCCCCGUUGGUUUGCCUUUUCCAAGGUCCAUUCAGCAAGGGGCUCGCUCCCUUUAGUAGAAGCAUCAGCUCUGCACGGUAAUAAGUUUCUCCUUCCCUCCACAGACACUGGACUGCAGGUCACUUUGGUAUGAUGACGAGACCAUCAUGAGUCCUUGCACCAUUUUUAACUUGGCCCAGUUCUUACUGUGUGUGCAGCUAGUGUCUUAGCAAACUGCCUGAAGGAGAAAGGGAGGCAACCGGAACUGUCCCCUCAGCUCAGCCCCACAGCCCACCCCAGCACGAGCCCUGACAGGUGCCACAGCCACCACCGGUGGGUAAGCGUGGAUUCACACUGAGUCAUGGGCCACAGGCAGGACAGCAGGCUGGGCUGUUUAUUGCUCUGUUUGUGCAGAGCUCUGGGAUCUUCUCGAACUGACCCCUGGAGGACAGAGGUAAUCUCUGCUAGACUCUUGAGUGCUGAGGUCCAAGGGUGACUGAAAAAGUAACAAAAACCACAAACAGGACAGAACAAUCGGAGAAGCUGCCUGGCCAUCCCAGAACUGCCUUUGUUUUGGGGAUUCCAGUCACUAGGAAUCUAGAGAUGAAAAGAGACUCUGGAGAAUUCCAGUCGGUGCCUCACACGUCAUCAGUACCGCCCAUGCCCCACCUCCCAUCAGAGGUCAUAGAACCCCCUGCCUCUCUGCAUCUGGCCGAAGGAGACGGCCCAGCCGCCAUGGGUUCUGUGCUCCUGUCCACGUCCUCAGUAAACCUGUUCGUUUUGUACUUUUUGCUUCUCUCUUGCACCAGAAUACUCUAACAGUUAAUGGCACUGUAUCUUCUGUGGGAUAAAGUGUUUUAAGCACUCGCCAUCUGUUUCCAUCCCCGUGCACAUGAGUCCCGAGUGUGUAGUAACUGAAGAAUGCACGGCGGAGCCUUCAGAGAGCUUAGCAACCAACUCGGGGAGGUUCUCAAAGAAAACCCACUUUAAUACCUGUACGCGAUUUGUUUCUAGAAAGAUAAAGUUGGAAAAUGAUUGCCAAAAACGUCAUUCAUGGGAGGAGGUAGCCCCAUAAUGGUGGCUCAAUAGUUUCCUUGUUGAUCCUGAAGCGAUCUGCACAUGUGUGGUUUCCGGGCCAGCAGGGAGGACGGCGGACUGGGACCCAGAGGACUGGCCUCUUGUUCCAGGCUGGCAUCUGAUGGACACUUGGGUGUUGGUCAAAGGACUCCACUUCCCUGGGACUUGGUUUCCUCUCCUAGAGAGCAAGGGACUUACAGGCGAUGGCCAGGGGCUUCACUUAGCUUCGUUAUGUGCCAGCACUCAAAUCGCACUUUCUGGUUAUUAAUUUUGGAAAGGUCCAUGACCGUGCAAGCUCAGUCCUGAAGAAAGCACUUCCUAGUCUUGUGCUUUUAGCCACCACUGGGCCUUAAUUAAAGUAGCUGUUAAAACCAAUGACAAGAACAGCUCUUCCUUGCCCCAGGCCCAAGGACAAAUGACUGUUUGCAAAGCUGCAAAGGCCCUAAUUAGAGAGAGAGUUCGCACUUGGGUGUGAUGCAGACCAGAUUGUUUACAGCGGAGAAUGUCAGGGAGGCUGGAUUGCAGUGUAGACACCACCAGAGACAGCAGAGGACUCAACAUCUCAGGCAAAACUGGCAGGCUUGGGGCUGGGUAAUCAGAAAAACAAGCGGGGUUAUUUUCCUUGGAGGGACUCAGUUUCAUUAACAAGUUCAUCUGGAGAGCUAAAGAGCUCCCUGGAUCAGGUACAGCUCCUGGGGUACAGCUCCGCGGUAGGGUGCUUGCCUAGGAUCUGUGAGGCCCUGGGUUCCAUCCCCAGCAGCAAGAGUAACCCACAGGAACAGAGGUGUCAGGACCCACAGGAGUCAGGACUGGCAGGGCCUCACAUCAGGAGAGCUAAUUAGGCAGGAACUGCCCCCCCCCCAAGGUUUCCCCUUUGAAGUGGGGGAGGGGAAGAAUAAAAUGCAAAAAUCCAGCCUAGAGGAACAGCAGGCUGGUGAGACUUUGCUUUCUAAUCCUUUCCUCUUAUUACCAUUAGAAAGCCAGACCAGUCAAAGCAAACAUAAAAUGUACCUUACUGGAGAGGACAAGGGAGAAAGGCAUGAUUUAAAGUCUUCCUCUUGGGACUGGGAUAUGUCGCUGUUCGGAAAGUAAAUGUGAAGGAUGGUAAGCGCUCAGCAAAGAUCACAAAGGGACUGGUGGGGCGGGAAGGAAGUGAGCCACAGCAAAGGCCCAGUCACACACUGUGGGUCACCAGGAUUAGGUUUGUGCUCUUUUUUCUGUGGUUCUGAGGAAAACAGCAACCACCGGAGCCACUUUAAGAACAACAAACGAAAUUCUCCCGUCUGGUCUCAUAAUCACGAGUCCUUUCAAACCUCAGAUGGGAUUUCUCCAGUUAAUCACUAGCCCUGCCUUCAGUUGACUUUGAGUCACUUUCCGGAAAACCGAGAGCAUCCACAAAUUUUCAGAACUGAGAAUAUUUGAAAGGACCAGGCCAAUGUCCUUUGGUUCAGGUCUGGAGAGGGCUGGGAAGCUUGGAAGAGGAGCAGUACCUUUUUAUGCAUCAGUCCAUGGUCCUCUGUUGAAGAGGAGAGAAAUUUGGACACGGGAGCCCCGGCCUGCUCAUGUAAAAAUAUCUGUUGCUAUGUGCAAAAGUCUCAUUGGGUGGAUGGCGUGGCAAUCAUUUAAAAAUGAACUACACAUAGUAGAAAAAAAGGCUAAGACAAAAUAGAUUUACAUGUCACAGAGUUCGGAUUCUCCUUUAUUGGAUUCUCUCUGCAGAAAGGGGCCCCCAGACCCCAGAGCUAUCAACUCCCCAUCCCUCAGAUGCCUCUGGACCCUGAUGAUAAAUCCCUGGGAGGCCUCAGAUCAGGAAAGGGACACAUCGGUGGGGUGGGACAGUAGUGCUCCUGAGCUUCUAGGAAAUUCUGCCUGCAGCGGUGGGGUGAGCUGAGCAUCUGAUAAUGGAAACGGAGAGGACACUGCAGAAUUCUACACCCCAGAGCUAGUGCAGCACGUGUCGGAACCCAGCUCUGGAAGGAGGCAGGCAAGAUGAGAGGCCCCUGCAGCCUAGGGUUCCACGUUGCUCCCUGAGUACAAGCGAAUGUGGAAAUUAUCCCCCUGACAAGGAAGAUGGUUCCUGGAGAGGACAUGAGCUCAGAGGUGUCUCCAGGGAAGGCACAGUGGGUGAUGGUCCUGGGGCCUGGAAGGGAACAUUUCCUGGAGGGAAGCAGAUUAGGCUUUUCCUAGGUCACCAAGAGAAGAAAGAAGCCAAGUUACGGGUUCUGAAAGCAAAGACAUGGGUCAAAGGAGCCCACUGGGCUGCUAAAAGGACAGAGAAAGGAAUAGACAGCAGCCAGCCAGCCCACUAUACCUGAGCUCUGUUCGACCUACACAUUUACCCAGUGGAUUCUGAAAGAGCCAAUGGAAUUCCCGGCCUUGCGAGCGCUGCUGCGAGGGCAGGUGGCUUGUUGCUGUAGUGAGAGCCUGGGUACUGCCAGGAGGCAGAUGUGAGAUUCUGUUUUGAACCUUGGUCUUGAUGCUCUGUAAUCUCAGCCAAGUUACUCUUUUUUUAAAAAGAGGAUAAAAUAGAAUAAAAUCAAUCAAAACAAACCAGUGUAAGAGAUAAAGGACUUCAAAACAUUAUGAAAUCAACAUUAGUUAAUAUAAUGCCUUUGGAUGUCUUCAAAAAUAGCUGCAGAUAACUUUGGACACAGUAAAAAUCAAACAGAACAGAAUAGAAUAGAAUCAAUAAAAACAAAACAAUGAAUGCAAUAAAGGACUUCAAAACAAUCCUAUAGGAAAUCCAUAAUAUAGCUUGCUAUCUUUGAAACAGCUGCUCCUGCCAUCAGAUUUAACAUAAUCAAGCCAAACAAAAGAGAAUAAAACCUAACCCAAUAAAACAAUGGAAAUGAUACAGGACUACCAAAAUAAGACCAUAGGGAAUCAACAAUGGCUGUAACCCUCAGAAGGGGAUCCCCCUAGAUGCCACACUGCGUACUGCUAUCCUCUGAACAUAUGAUCAGCCCACUGGCCCUAGACCUGUAAUGUUAGUGAAACCUCAAAGCACCACAGGCAUCCAACUGCAUUUCACCUCCGUAGCUACCAUCACAGCCUGUGUUUCUCCCGAUAAGCCAGUCACUUAUGCAUGGUGGGGUGAUAUUGGUGAUACUUCAUGUAUUGCCAGUCCGUGUGCCAGAAGGGGCUGGGGUCUGGCUGUUUCCAGUUUGGUGGCAGCCCACACAUGGUGCUGGUUCCCAGACUGGGCUUGUUUGCUGGUGUGCCUUUGCUCUCUCUCCUCAGCCAAAGUACUCUCCAAAGCUUGGUGUCCUCAGUGCCACUAUGGAGCGAUGGCCCUUCCUUUGUGGCUGUGUAGGGUGCUUUACGGGAGGCAUCGUGUAUGGAAAAGCUGUGACAGCCUUUUCUGGGGUGCUUUUUGAAUUUUUGUUUGUUUGUUGGACAUGGAGCCUAGGGCCUCACACAUGCCAGUCCUAGUUCUCUACUCUUGAUGCCACUUGGCCUGGUGGAUAACACAGGAGACAGAGCCCUGCUGGAGGCAUUCAGGACAAUACUGAGGUCUUGACUAAGAAACACUCGCUACUGGGAAGUCGGACCACAGCAGCAAAUUCAAGCUGUGUCUUACUGGCCGUACUGUGGAAUUAUUUAGCAGAGCUAAUGGAGUGAAAUGUCCUUGGAGUAUUCCAGCUUCUCAUCUCUAUUUGAUUGAUAUUAGAAUAUGAUCUCAAGUUGAUGGUAAUGAAGAAUCAAAGAAUCACAUCAACUUAAUAGAGAUAGUUUGGGUGGCUGGAGUCAAAACGACCACUUCUGCUGGUCUCUCAGUGACACUGAAUAUAUGGAUAUAGGUUGAGCUGUGCAUAACAUUAGGUUGCAACCACCUGUCCCAUACUUUUUUACUUUAAAUGUAUAUUUAGCAUAAUAGUGGCCAAUUGUGUCUCUCAGUAGCUGUGCCUAGGAGAUACAGGCAACAAUUUUUAUGUUUACCCUCUCGGUAUGAUGAACAGCAAGGUGCGUGCAUGUGUGCUGGGACUGGGAUUUUUACCCACAUAUUGCUUCAUCUAAUAAGUUUUGCACACGUUUGGCUGAGCAUCACAGCAGGUAAAAUACACCCACAUCACUCUUCUGUUCUGUAAGCACCAUAAAUGGAAUGUGAGUGUGACUCCUGGGGAAAGGAAAAACCCAUCUGUGCAUUCACCCACUCAGCGAGGAGUGCCAAGGUAUACACAGGAGAUCCAAGCAGCAACAGGUGAGUUUUACCCUUGAAACACUCAUUGCCAAAUUUCAUCUACGACUUUUUUUUUUUUACAAAGCUAGCUUAAGAUUUUUCUCAUAGAAGUAGCUCAGUUUAGAACAAUGGCACAGGAAAAACCAGAUUUGCAAGUUUUGGAGGUCAAAAGUGAAUCAUCAGAUCAUUCAUGCAUGGAUGAGAAAGAUGAUGAUGACUUUGACAUUGACCACGUGAGCCAGAGUUCUUAUGGCAGUGAAAUGGAGCAAGAAUCGACUGAUACAGAUGCAGGGAAUGAAGACCUCCUCGAUUCAGAUGUCGAGGAAAACAACAGCGUGAGUACGUAUUUGACAAGUAGAAAUGGUACAAAACGGUCAUGCAACCAAAUGGGAAAGUCCAAUGUUAGUACUAGGUCCGAAAAUAUAAUGGGGAUUUUGGCAGGAUGAAAUUGUAUUGGACAGAAUGCCAGCACUACCACUCAGUGUUGGAGAUUGUAGCAGAUGAAAUGCUGCAAAGUGUUGUGAAAUACACAAACACUGAAAUACAAGUAAGACGUGCUUUAUGCACCAAUAGCCAUAUAAAAAUGUAUUAACCAUGACACUCACCAGCUGAAGUGAAAGCAUUUAGAGGUUGACAGUGCUUCCAGAAGUUUCCAUUGGGAAUCACAGGACCGUGAAGGACUUAUGGAAAAGUGAUAGGUGUGGGCUUCAGGUUUCCAGAAUAACAAAGACGCUGAGGACAUUUGUUUCCUUCAACAUUGCCUGAGGUUUGGUAACGAAUCACAUACCAAGAAAGAAAAAGAGCUGACAAUCUGGUUGCUAUCCGCUCCUGGUUUGAGGGAUUUGUGGAUGAGUGGUAAGCAAUUUACACACCCUCCAAAUACAUGAUUACUGAUGGACAUCUUGCAGGAUUUUGUGGUCACUAUAGCUUCAGGCAAUAUAUUCCCAAAAAAGUUUCAAAACAUGGCCCCCAAAAUGUAUUCCUUUAUAGUUGAAAAGACUCAUUAUAUUUCCCUUUGUAAAUUUAUCCUAGAACUCAGCAACCAGGUACUUAUUAAUAUAGUAAUAAACCAAAUGAACCCAUGAACAGGAUUCUUGUUCUUGUCUCCUAAACUAAUCAGAAUUUGAUAUUAAACAAUUGGUUUACAAGUUUCCAACUGAUGUUACAUUUUCUAGUGGGGCACAAGUUGACCAGUGUAGGAACUGUACAGAAAAACAAAGCAGACAUUCCAAAUGAAUGUUGCAAUUUCAGAACAGAGAGUUGUAGUACAAUCUUUGGACUUCAGAUACAUAACAUUGCCUUUGUAUAUAGCAAAGAAAAACAACUGGUAGUGAUGUCAACAUUGCACCAUAAUGGAAACAUUGAUAGGGAAACUUCAAAGAAGUGGAAGCCUGAGAUGGAAACUUUCUAAAAAAUAUCAAAGGCAGAGGAGAUGUUGACUAGUUAUAUGGCAAUUAUGACGUCACAUGAAAUACAAUGAAUUGUCAGUGGUAAUGUUUUGCUCAACCCUAAACAUGUGUGGCAAAAAUAGUUCAAUAGUUCACUAAGAAAAUACCAAGUGUGAUGGGGCAGCAAGAUGGCAGGUAGAUAAAUAGCAAGGUAAAGAACCUCUCUGAGAGAAACAGCUCAGAUGCUAGAAUUUAAUAGCAAGGAGAAGACCAGAUGAAAGGAAAGGGAUUCUCACAACCCAGGAAGAAACUAAGGAAAAAGACAAGAAAAACGUGGAUGGAAGGCUGGAAUGAGAUGAGCUUUCACUGUAGUCGGUCAGACUCGAGAUCAUGGCGCUCUCACCAGAGCUGGUCUGACUUGUGGUCAUGCUGAAGGGAGGGGUUGGUGAACCCAAGGACCUUGGUGAGAGGAUGUGUUGCAAUGGACAACCGAGCAAGCAUGGAGAUCUGCACUGACCCUCGGUGAGUGCUGGAAUUUGGUCCUCCCCUGGGUGGGGGAGACCGGCUGGGCAACUUCUUGGAAUCCGGAAGGAUAGACCUGAACUCAGAACUGUAGUAACUUCAGUUGGCCGCUCCUGGUGAGGAACAGAUUGGUGAAAAUGGCUUGGACUGGGUCUCGCUCCUGAGUGGGACCUAAUAGCCAGGGACGAACUUGCCCCUGAAGUUGUCCUGAACCAGUUCCGUCCAGCAGCACACAUUAAUAUGGUGAAGACCCCCAGAAAUGUGGAAAGACCCCCAGAGGUUGACUAGCUCAGAGGGAAGGAACCAACCUGCACUGCUCCUGCUCGUACCUCAGUGAUCAACAACAAACUGGAGAGGGCAGCAAUCCCUAGCCAGCACGCUUCAGAGUAACUGUAACCCAUACAGAAAGGGCCUGGGACCUCCACUAUAUACCUGUCUGUAAAAAACUAGAAACAUAACAAGAGAAAGAAACAAGAAAAAGUGUCCAGCUGCCAACUCAGGGAAUAUGGGUCCAGGAGUAUUGUAAACCCAAAAAUUCAGGUUCAGUCAUCCAAGUAUUGUAAUCUUCUUUCUAGUUUUCCUUUUAAUCCAAAAAGUUAUAUUUGUAAUCCCAUUGAGACAUUAUUGGAAUUCCAGCCCGUCAGUUCCAAUCUACCACCACCAACCCAACCCACAGCGAGAGUAAAAACACCAAGACAUAUUCCAAGUUAAGGGCACCCAAGGGGACCCAAGUCCAUUUCCGGUGAGGACAUGUGGACAAAGGCCACAAUCCUAGGCCUCUCCCUGCAUUUAUUAUUUUGUGAGGAAAAGGGGGGCGUCACUAGGGAUGAGUGAUAGUCAGGAUGUCGGGGAUUGCUGAGUAACUUGGGCUGGCUGGCUAGGUGUAAGAAUGGCAUCCCUGUAAUUUGCAGAGAUAAAGACAUGCAGAAGAUCAAUUUACACAACCUGAUUAAGGUAGCAGGGGAAAUGUUUUGGGGUGCUGUUGCUUCGGUUUUUGAUAUGCAAACUCUUGUGCCCUGGGGAGUCAUAACCUCUUAUCUUGAGGCUCCUUCCCAGUUGACAUCCCCAGAGUCUGAUCUGCAUCUUGCCAGCUCAAUCUUUUAAUGUGGAGAGUAUUAUUGAGGAAGGGCUGUCUGAUGGCCAGACUUUGCAUAUUAACACCUCAGCUAGCCUUAUUUGCAAUGCUUAGAGCCAAUUGAGGAGAGAAGGAAAUACGCUAGCCAACGUUUCACAUAUCAGUAUAAGGAAAUGAGUUCUCAAGUAAUCAAAGUCACAGCAUUUGUUUUGGAUUCAAAGGGAGUCACCAGAGUUGUCUCACAUCAGUGAUACUGCACAUUAGCACCUGGGCUAGCCUUGUUUGCCAUGCUCAGAGUUAAUUGAAGUUUGCCAUGCUCAGAGUUAAUUGAAGAGAAGGAAAUACCCUGCCACUUUUUUACGUAUCAGUAUAAGGAAAUGAGUCUCCAAAUAUUCAAAGUUACAGUAAUUGUUUUGGAUUUAAAGGGAGACACUGGAGUUGUCUCCUACACAGGAGACGUAAACACAGAAGAGAUCAAGAGGAGCAAACAUGCAAUAUCAUGGUUUAUGUCUGUGGCCCCCAGGCCUCAUGAGUUUGCAUUGUGCAUUUGUGAUUGGUUCAUUGUCUAGUGCUUGGAUUGAUAGUGUCAGUGCUCCACCCACAUAGGGGUGGAGCCAGGAUGUGAUGUAAUGGCAGGAAGAAGGUGUGUCUUGCUCUUUGCUGGUUCCUGCUUGCUGUUUGCAGCCACCAUAAACUGCAGCCCAGCCAUGCCCGCCUGCCUUGGAGCCAACUGAGUGUGGACUAAAACCACCAAAAACUGUAAGAAAUAAACCUUUCCUUUCCCAAAAUACCUUUGGCUUCAGGUAUUUUGUCUCAGCAACAAGUAAAGAGUAACUAAGAUAAAAUUUGGUACUGGGAGUGGGGCUGUUUGCUGUGACUAUACCUGGCCAUGUUUUUCAAGAGGUUUUGGAAAUGGCUUAUGGCCAGAGUUUGGAAAGGUUCGGACAUGUUGCCUGGAUGCAUAGAGCUGGAGCAGCUUAGGCUGUUCUGUAGAGGAGAUUCUAGUCAGAGAUCAGGAGACCAGAGGCUGAUAGAAAGUCUGAUGGUAAAGACCAGGUUUGGGAGGUUUCUUCUGGGAAGAAGGACUGCAUUGGUUGUUGGACUCCCCAUGAUGUAUGUUAUGGGCUGGCAGAAAGUUUGUCUGCAUUUUGCUGCUGCCCAUAGACUUUGCCUGAGACUGAGACAAAGGGAAAUGGACUGAUUAAUCUCAAAAAAGAAAUUAAAAAGCAAUCAAAUAUUGAGUCUGUGGCGUGGCUAUUGUUGGGGGCUUUUAGCCAGCUUUAUGUUGCAAAUCAAGGGCAAAGAGCCCAGCAGGAUAAUUUAUAAUGCUGUGAGUUCGGCCAAAAAAAAAAAAAAAAAUUCCAGGAAGGCUGUGGAUUGUAAAGGCAGAGUUGAGAUUUUGAUUGUUGAGGGGAAACAGAAAGAUAAAAAAGAUGGCCCUGGGGCACCCCAGGAAAUGGGUCCCCACCCUUUGCAGCCUCACUGCAAAGAUGAAAAGAAUUUGCUCAGAGGAGAAGGCUGCAGAGCACCAUGCUCCAAAAUGGCGACAGAGGCCACAUGAGGUUCCAAAAUGGCGGCAACAUAGAGAAGCUUUUCCUCACAAUCAGGUAAAUAGAGCCCUGCAAUCCAGGCAACUGACCCCUACAGCCAAGAGAGAGAAAAGCUUGGCUACUGCUUCAGCUGGCAGCAGACCUUGGCAGCAUCCACAAGGUGCUGAUUUUAAAUGCAAGAAAAAUGCAUGAAUUCUGAGGGUAAGACGGCGUCCACCUCAAUUACAAAGGGCCUGGGAGGCCAAGCAGUAUGCCCCUGAGAGGGCAAUUUGUGAAGAAGUAAAUGUGAAGCCAAAGGUGCAGUAGAGACCCCAGAAGUUUGGAAAAGCCAAGAACAUGGAUGAUCCAAGAAAAGCUGCAAAAAGUGAGCAAAGAGGAUUUAAGAGAAAAGCUGUGGGAGUUAAAAUCGCCAGAGGUGCCACGGGGGUGGAAUCACCCAAGCCUUUUGGAGCUUGCAACCAGAUUGCUUCAGAUGCUGAGCAUGGAACUCCAGGACUUAAUGUUUGUCCUACUGGAUGUUAGACUUGCUUUGUUUCCAACGCUUUAUAUUUCCCUGUUUGUAACUUUUGGAAUGGUAAUGUUUAUCUUUUGCCUUUAAAUUUCAGAAAUGUUUAACCUUGUUUCAUUUGUACAGGGGGUUACAGUUAAGAGUUUACCAUAGAUCUUGGAGGAGACUUGGGACUUGGACUAUUUGGCAAUGCUGAAAUUGUUAGGAGUUUGGCAACUCUUGGAGGUGGACUAAAUGUCUUUUGUAUAAAGGAUGUACAUGAGUCCUGGGGGCCAGGGGUGGAAUGUCAUGGUUUAUGUCUGUGGCCCCCAGGCCUCAUGAGUUUGCAUUGUGCAUUUGUGAUUGGUUCAUUGUCUAGUGCUUGGGUUGAUGAUGUCAGUGCUCCACCCACAAAGGGGUGGAGCCAGGAUGUGAUGUAAUGGCAGGAAGAAAUGUGUCUUGCUCUUUGCUGGUUCCUGCUUGCUGUUUGCAGCCACCAUGAACUGCGGCCCAGCCAUGUUCGCCUGCCUUGGAGCCAACUGAGCAUGGACUAAAAGCUCCAAAAACUAUAAGAAAUAAACCUUUCCUUUCACAACUUUGGCUUCAGGUAUUUCAUCUCAACGAGUAAAAAGUAACUAAGAUAUGCAAUAUAGGACAUGGCAUCAGCUGACAUAAAGAAAUAUCUUCAUGACAUUAUAGAAAAACUCAAAACAAAAGUACUAAUACAACUAAAACAAGAUAUAAGAAGAUUAAUAAAUGAAAUGCUAAACACCUCUCAGGAAGACACAGAUGGAAGAAUAGAGAAGCACAGAAAAAGGAGGGAAACCUCCGAUGAAGAAUAUUUUAAAAAUCUGGAAUACACAAAACAGAUUCAAAGAGAUUACCAGGAAAUUAAAAACUCCAUUGAAAGCUGGCAGAAAUGCUUGAAAGAAACUAAAGAUAGACUAUCAAAAGUUGAAAACAGGUUUGCAGUGUGUGAUCGUGAAACAAAAGAUCUCUUUAAAGUAACAAGGAAAUAGGAAAUAAAAAUACAAAGGCUAGAAAACAACAAGAGGAUCUAUAACUUAAGAAUAAAAAAUGUGAGAGAAGAAGCAGGAGUAAACACAAGGGAAAUACAAAGGCUAUUCACAGAAAUAAUUAAGGAAAACUUCCCAAGCAUGGGAAAAGGAAAUGAUAUUCAGAUAUAUGAAGCAUACAGAACUCCAGCCAGCUACAACCAAAACAGAGCUACACCCAGGCAUGUAAUAAUCAAGAUGCCAGAAAUUCAAUACAAGAACAGAAUAUUAAAAGCUGUCAGAGAAAAGAAACAGAUUGCCUAUAAAGAAAAUCCAUCAGAAUCAUGGCAGACUUCUCGACACAAAUAAUCAAAUCAAGAAGAGCUUGGAGCUACAUAUUCCAAGCCCUGGAAGAAAAUAAGCUCCAAACCAGAUUGAUGUAUCCUGCAAAACUAUCUCUCAAAAAUUAAUAGAGAAACAAGAUGCUUCCAUGACAAAGAGGAACUGGGGGAAUUCAUGACCACUAAUCCAACUCUACAAAAAAUACUGAAGGACAUUCUAGAGAGAGAGAGAGAUAAAAAAAAAAAACACCAGGAUUUCAGGAACAGUGGCAGAGGGCGCUCACUGAAUGGGGCAGACAGUAGAAUGAAGGGGAAAAGUAGACCACCAAUGACAGAAAAAUAGCAUGGCAGAGACGAGGCAGAGAAGGUUGGCUAUAAUCUCUAACAUAGAUGGCCUUGAUACACUAACAAAAAGAAACACAGGCAGAGUAGAUCAGGAGAUAGGGUCCAUUGAGAUGCUCUGCAUAGGAAAUAGAAUCAACCUGAAAGAGGGUUUAUGAACUGGAAGUCAAAGAUGAGAAAAUAAUGCCCUAUGUGACAGAGAACCAGAGAGAAAUAGGAACAGCUUACCCAGCAGCUGCAGAUAGAUUGGAAAGUCAUGACACUUUUGUGCAGUGGAGAACUACUCAGCUGUAAGGAAGGAAAACCUUGAGGCUUUAGUAGGUAAAGGAAUACGGCCCAAUAUCAAGCUCAGGGGUAAAAAGUUUCAGAACCACUUAGGUAAAUAGUGGGUUGCCUCCCUAAUCUAAAAGCUACAGGGGUUAAUGGGAUCCAAAAUGUACAAUGCACCCUGUGAAAGUGAAAGGGGAGGAACUGUCUAAAAGAGGAAGGCAAAGGACAUUGUUAAUAGUGUAUCAUGAUUUAAAAACCACAUUGUUCUCAUUGCUCUGUUUAGUUUGGUUAUAUUCUGUUCCAGUCGGUCUACUUGUACUCAACUUGAGGGCACAGAAAGCUAUUCCAAAAAUAGCAGGAUAUACUACAGUAAUCAUCCUUGAUUUCUUAUUAACUUAACCUGAAGCCCUGUAUUACUUACACUGUCUUAUUAUGACUGAUCUUAUUUGAAUCUGGUUUGUUAGAUCACUGUCUGGUCUUGACUGAAUUUAUCUGAAUCUGUUACAUUUGAUAGUAUCCAGUCUGAGAGUAUAGGCAACUACUCUGAAGAUGGUAAGAUUCACUAGGAUACCCAUUCUGAUUUGACUAUUACCUGCUUUUGAAGUCCUACAAUGUGUCCAAUGUUUUGUUUUUAUGGAUAUUGUUCUGUUCUGUACUGCUAUGUUCAAUUUAACUAUGCCUGAUGAUAUAGACAAUUCUAUUAAAGAUAACAAGAGACAUCAUAGUAACCAUUAUAGAUCACCUAUUGUAUUGUGGUUUUAAUCAUGUGCUGUGUCCAUCCUUUUGUUUUGAAUGAUUCUGUUUUGUGUCCUUUCUCAUUUGGUUUUGUUCUUUUCAAAAUAAAAUUUAAAAAAAUAAAAUAGCACUAAAAAUAACAAGUGCAAAAUAUCACAGAUUUUCUUAGAAGAUUGGGAUUGGAACUCAUAUGAGACCAUUUACAGCAGAGGAAAAACAAAAGGUUUCUGCCCAGGGGACUAUAGAAAAAUACUGUGGUGCACACUGGAAAACAGACAGGUGAACAGGCAGGCACAGCAUCACAAGGUCCUACAAUGACAACAGGAAAACAUAAAUGACGUAACUGUGCUCUGCAGGAAAGGACAGGAAAACAAACACAUGUGCUCUCCGUGUUAGCGAUGCUUGUGUGUGGGACUGCCUCGGCUGUGACUGUCGAAGUGAAGAUUAUUUCUGUGGUGGACUUUUGUUUGUAUUUACAUUGGAGUUCACAUAAGAUUUUUUUUUCCAAUGUUAUCUUUUAGGUUUUGUAAGCAAGUACACAGCUUUAUGUGAAAAUGUUAUUAUUUAUUCUGAAUGCACAGUAUAUAUGAUGAAUUUAAUACUUUAUUUGAUUGAUAUGUUAUGUUCCUGUUAACUACACAUUGUAUAAGAUGAUAAGACCCUCCUGACAAAAUAGCAAUUCCUGCCAGCAAGAUGGCAAGUAUGUCCUACAAAAAGGCCAAGAAAGCAAAAGAUGUGAGCAGUCAGUGGAAGCCAUGCAUGUGUCAGGAAUGUCCUGUUGUCAUGUGUGAGUCUGAUUGAUUUUUGCAGAGUGCUAUCAGGGGGGUAGUUCAUAUAGGAAUUUAUUUGUGUUGUUAUUUCUUUAGAUUUUGUGCCCAAAAAAAGUUAAUGUUGAAAAGUUUGAUACUGUUGUAUAAUCAUUCAAUAAAUAUUAAAAAUUCAAUACCUUGUUUUUCCCA
This is a long non-coding RNA of Cavia porcellus (domestic guinea pig), 14224 nucleotides long. RefSeq lists it as uncharacterized. Lineage: Eukaryota; Metazoa; Chordata; Mammalia; Rodentia; Caviidae. The record is from RefSeq and is a predicted model, not a curated record. The transcript is spliced from 3 exons.